Molecule: non-coding RNA, 1111 nt
Organism: Zootoca vivipara (common lizard)
Lineage: Eukaryota; Metazoa; Chordata; Lepidosauria; Squamata; Lacertidae
Source: RefSeq, a predicted model, not a curated record
GUUAGGUUUGGCUGCUAAUCUCCCACCCAAAGCAACAGUAUUGCUGUGUCCUUGUGGAAGAGGUGGGCUGACUUCAGCAUUGCCUGUUUGCCUUUUAAAUACCUGGAAUCCUGUGCUCCAUCGAUGUUUUAAAUCUACCAAGCAGCCUCCUAAUUUUGAGAAGCUGGUAGAUGUCGUUCAGCCUCAAACACGGCACUAGUUUGGGUCAGUAAUGUUCAACCACGACUUUGUCCCUCCAACUUGCUGUCAGUUCAAACCACGUACAAUGUGAUGCAUGUGCUCCUCGCCGAAGAGGCCGCUCACUCCCUGACAGAGUGACAGUUUGGAUGCUGGCUGGACAAAAGAGGCUCUUCUCUUUGCACCUAUGGAGUCCCUGUGCGAUUUUUAUGCGUUACAAAAUGCAUCGUUUCAUUUCCACGUGGCUCCGCUCCUCCCGUCAAACCCGGCUGGGCCGUCCCGAGGUUGCGGCUGCAGAAAUGGUGAGUAGGGGAGGGGGAGCGCUCGGCGGCUUUCGAUUGGGUGCGGAAGACCAUAGACAACUAAGUCAAAGGGACGCUCGAGGAGGAACCAUAGAGAUAAAAGAGAGAGCGGAGAGUGGUGGUGGUGCGGGCGGGGCAGGCAGGCGGGUUAUGACAGGAAUCGCCGCCAUCUUGUGAAGGGCGCGCUCAAACGCAGCCAUGCUGAGAAGGUUCUCCGCUCCAUACGGUAGUUCUGCAAAUCGCCUUUCUCGUCGCCGCACGUCGCGGCACACCAGCCAGCGUCUCGCGGCACAGUAAUGUGCCGCGGAACAGCGGUUGAGAAACGCUGGUCUGAGGGACAGUGGACCAGCCCCCUGCUGAAAAAGUUUGCUGACCCCUGGCUUAAAGGAGCUUCCAGAGAGCUCUUACUUAUGCUUAUGAGAAAACACCCAUUGUGAGAUCUCUUCUUGUUUCUCACAAAAUUGCCUCAACAUUUGAUUGCCCUGCUUCCUUCACAAAAGGCUGGCCCUUCAUGGAAUCUCCAGUGCAUCUUCUUAUUCAUAAUGGGUGUGUUGCUUUUUCACUGCCCGAAUGGGGCUGGUACUUCUAUGCCGUCUCUGUGUGCUUGAAAGUGUCGCUGUAUCCUGCACAAU